Molecule: ribosomal RNA, 503 nt
Filed under: uncultured bacterium
Lineage: Bacteria
Description: partial 16S ribosomal RNA
Rfam family: Bacterial small subunit ribosomal RNA
Source: RNAcentral
AUUGAACGCUGGCGGCAGGCUUAACACAUGCAAGUCGAGCGGGGUGAUGGUGCUUGCACUAUCACUUAGCGGCGGACGGGUGAGUAAUGCUUAGGAAUCUGCCUAUUAGUGGGGGACAACAUCUCGAAAGGGAUGCUAAUACCGCAUACGUCCUACGGGAGAAAGCAGGGGAUCACUUGUGACCUUGCGCUAAUAGAUGAGCCUAAGUCGGAUUAGCUAGUUGGUGGGGUAAAGGCCUACCAAGGCGACGAUCUGUAGCGGGUCUGAGAGGAGGAUCUGCCGCCCUGGGACUGAGACACGGCCCAGACUCCUACGGGAGGCAGCAGUGGGGAAUAUUGGACAAUGGGGGGAACCCUGAUCCAGCCAUGCCGCGUGUGUGAAGAAGGCCUUAUGGUUGUAAAGCACUUUAAGCGAGGAGGAGGCUCUUUUGGUUAAUACCCAAGAUGAGUGGACGUUACUCGCAGAAUAAGCACCGGCUAACUCUGUGCCAGCCGCCGCCGUAA